RNAcentral lists this long non-coding RNA (614 nucleotides) under Salvator merianae (Argentine black and white tegu). RNAcentral's name for it is "lncRNA (ENSSMRG00000004762.1)". Lineage: Eukaryota; Metazoa; Chordata; Lepidosauria; Squamata; Teiidae. The record is from RNAcentral.
CAGCUGGCAAGCACUACAGCAGNCUCAAGGAGCAUUUUCCUGCCAUGGCAGUGUGGAAGGGUCUGUACAGCAAUGUGGACUUAUCUGAACAUGGGGUAGAGAAGCCAAGGACCCAUGAGCCCAGGAGUCAGCCAGGUAUGCGGCUCAGUGAGGAACAUGGUCAGAAACAGAUAGAAUGUGAUGAAGGUAAAAAAGAAACAUGUGAAGAAGAAAGUGUAUACGAACCUAUUGACCCUGCAGCUGGUUUUGAGGGGAAACAAACCCAACCAGUGGCCAUCACAUGGUUAUCAGCCUGGAAGCCAUCGUGUGGCAAAGUAACUUUAGCUGGUUCCUUUCUACUGGCCAUAUCUGUGUUCCUGAAUAUCUUACUGCUGGCUUUGGGAGCUGUUCACUAUUCUAAGAUGGCUGCUACUUUGGACCAAAUGAAUGCUAAGAACAAGCAGCUCCAGGAAACAGGUGAGUGCUUAUGGGAACUGCAGAGUAAGCUCGGAAGGUACCAUGUUCUGUGUCCCUCCUUCUGUUCAUAGAGAUUAAAAGCUGCCUUAUGUUUCCGGGAAGACCUGAGCAUGUAGUGUGGAGAACUAAAGAAUUUGUCUUGGAAGAAAUAGUUGCAC